AUACUUACCUGGUAGGAGAGAUACCAUGAUCACGAACAUGGUUUUCCCAGGGAGAGGCUUAUCCAUUGCACUCCCGAUGUGCUGACCCCUGCCGCUUCCACUACUGUGGGAAAUUCGACUGCGUAAUUUGCGGUAGUGGGACACUGUGUUCGCACUUUCCCCUA
This is a small nuclear RNA of Nycticebus coucang (slow loris), 164 nucleotides long. RefSeq annotates it as U1 spliceosomal RNA. The transcript has a single exon. The record is from RefSeq and is a predicted model, not a curated record. Lineage: Eukaryota; Metazoa; Chordata; Mammalia; Primates; Lorisidae.